Molecule: transfer RNA, 81 nt
Filed under: Cellulomonas wangsupingiae
Lineage: Bacteria; Bacillati; Actinomycetota; Actinomycetes; Micrococcales; Cellulomonadaceae
Also listed under: 1 other name
Description: tRNA-Leu
Rfam family: tRNA
About the family: Transfer RNA (tRNA) molecules are approximately 80 nucleotides in length. Their secondary structure includes four short double-helical elements and three loops (D, anti-codon, and T loops). Further hydrogen bonds mediate the characteristic L-shaped molecular structure. tRNAs have two regions of fundamental functional importance: the anti-codon, which is responsible for specific mRNA codon recognition, and the 3' end, to which the tRNAs corresponding amino acid is attached (by aminoacyl-tRNA synthetases). tRNAs cope with the degeneracy of the genetic code in two manners: having more than one tRNA (with a specific anti-codon) for a particular amino acid; and 'wobble' base-pairing, i.e. permitting non-standard base-pairing at the 3rd anti-codon position.
Source: RNAcentral
GCCCCCGUGGCGAAAUGGCAGACGCGCUCGACUCAAAAUCGAGUGCCGCAAGGCGUGAGGGUUCGAGUCCCUCCGGGGGCA